AACGAACGCUGGCGGCAUGCCUAACACAUGCAAGUCGAACGAGACCUUCGGGUCUAGUGGCGCACGGGUGCGUCACGCGUGGGAACCUGCCCUUAGGCUCGGAAUACCUCUCUGACAGGGGUGCUAAUACCGGAUAAUGUCUUCGGACACAAGAUUUAUCGCCUUUGGAUGGGCACGCGUUGGAUUAGCUAGUGGGUAGGGUAAAAGCCUACCAAGGCGACGAUACAUAGCUGGUCUGAGAGGAUGAUCAGCCACACUGGGACUGAGACACGGCCCAGACUCCUACGGGAGGCAGCAGUGGGGAAUAUUGGACAAUGGGCGAAAGCCUGAUCCAGCAAUGCCGCGUGAGUGAUGAAGGCCUUAGAGUUGUAAAGCUCUUUUACCCGGGAUGAUAAUGACAGUACCGGGAGAAUAAGCACCGGCUAACUCCGUG
RNAcentral lists this ribosomal RNA (433 nucleotides) under uncultured bacterium. Its description in RNAcentral is "partial 16S ribosomal RNA". It matches the Rfam family "Bacterial small subunit ribosomal RNA", at positions 29 to 507 of the family's 1533-position model. The record is from RNAcentral.